GUGAGUGUCCUCUACCUCUUUCUCUUCCUUUUCCCAAUUGUCUAGCCUUUGCAGCCUUGGAAUUAAGCUGGCAAGUCGUCGGAAUUCAUCCAAAAUAGGGGUACCUUGUUUCGGCGUCUCUUCCUCCUAUGUUCGCAGCCAUCGGCUGCCGGAAUAGGCCAAGCUUCGCCACCUUCCGAGAGCACUGAGAUCAUGUGGUCAUCGAUCAGGGAGAUCGGCCAUGAUCUAGGCCGAGUUUUUUCAUGAUUCAUCUUGUCUUCCUCCCUUCUUCCUUGUGCCGGACGGCCACCGUUGCCGGCAAGGCUGCGGCCGAAGGACCCCUUGGGCCGCUGCCACUGGAGUAGGCCGCUUUGGCCGCCACCAUAGAGAGGGAGAGAACGGCUCUCCCCUAUUUUGGGGAAGAAGAGAGGCUUCUCUCUUUUUUCUCUCUUAGUUUUCUCUUCCUUUGUUUCUCUCUCUUCACAUGAUUCUAUGGAUCCAACGGGAAGGUCCCAUAUUUCCUUUAUGGACCCAGAUUGACCCCAAUAGAGGGUCUUAGACCAGUAUCGUUGCGACCACCCGUCGCGCUAGUUUUAUCCUGACCAUUGCCGAGCACCGCUGGACUCUAUCAUCAUUAGUCUUUAUUGUAUUAUCUAUACCAUGGUUUGAUUCUUGUUUCAUAAGUUAACUAAUUUGAUUGACCAGAGCGGACUGAUCCAGAUCAUCGGAUGCUGCUACCUAGUCGAUCAUGUCAGUCUCGCACUCGAUUGUUGUCAACUACCAUUGGAUCCAUAAUUGAUAACUCCGGAUCUAUUGUCUUUUUCUUACUUGGAUAUAUGUUUCUUGAUCAGAUAGAUUGAGUUACGUUAUACUAACUGAUUCGAACAAUUGAGCGUUGUCACCUAGCUGGCCACGUAUAUCUUUCUAUACAAAUCUAUUUUCAUAGUCUAGCCUUAAUUUUGUAUAGGGCUACAAUCAUUCGGAAAGAAAGAAACCCAACAAGAUUCUACACUCUAGUUUCUAAAUUGAGGUAUGGCCCCGAUCCUUUAUUUUAAUUAAAGAAGAAUAGAGAAUAUGAGUAAUUCAAGUAUUGUAACUCUAAAAUUAGGUAAUUGCUGAGCAAUUGAUUCACUGAUAUGGCGAGUGAUUGAUAAGGAAUAAGUUGGUAUUAUAUUAAUAUUAAAUUGACUGGACAUGUUAGGUAUGGAUUGGUAGUGUUGUAGCUGGGUUGGAUUACGAUAGAGGUAAGAAUUUUUAUACUUGGUCACCAUAUAGAUAUAUAUAUAUAUAUAUAUAUUGGUUUGUACUGCUGGAUUUGCAUCGUGAGAUUUGCAUCGAUGGUUUUGGUUUGGCAUGUGAUGAUAUGUUUCUAGUACAAAUAUAUUCGUAUGGUUAUUAUACAUAUCAGAUAUUGAGAACAUAAUUACGUGAACACAAAUAUCUUGAAUUUGAGAAAAAUUCAUUAUAUAAGUGGUCACUGAUUUGACAAGAACAACAUGUAAAUCAGGUAAAAAAAUAUAGUUUGGACCAAGGUAGGCUGAACCGGUACCGGUAAGCGUAUCGGUCGCCUAUCAGACCGGUUCAAACCGGUCCGGUACGAACUGGUCUUUGUGGACCGGUUCAAACCGGUCUCUGUGGCAUUUAUUACCUGCGCGGGGCAGCGCGUGGGCGCGAAUAAGCUGGCCCGCGCACGCGUGAGGCAGGGCGGUUCCCAACGCAGGGAAACAUGCCUGUGCGCGGUGGAACCGCGCAAGGAAACGCGUAGGGCGGAGAACCAUGCAAGGGUUGUGGUUAAAAAAAGUUGGUACCGAUGUGAACCGGCCGAUUCGCACCAGUACAGACCAGUACGAGGCCGAUACGCAGCCGGUACGCAUGCGUACUGAUCGGUACCAGCCCAAAAAUAGCUGAAAUCGGUUUUUACGCUGUCCAGAUACCGGUUCCAGGCCGAACCGGUCCGUACCAGGCUGAACAAGCCGGUACGGUCCGGUUCGGCAGACCAUGAUUUGGACUAACCUUAUCAUAGGAUAGCGCUCAUGAGCUAAUGCAUGAGGAUAGCUUCCACGAGCUUAUGCAUGAAAUAGGCUCCACAGGCUUAAGCAUUGUAUAGCGCCCAUGGGCUUAUGCAUGAAAUUUCGUCAGUCUUGGAUCAAGUUAUGAUCUUGGUUAGUCCAAAGCCGGAAGUUAAUCAAUGAAAAACAUGAAAAUCAAGUUAAUGAGAAACAUAUGAAAUAACAUAAAAAAUUGUUGUUGAACAAUUAGUUAUAUAUAUGUGUGUGUGUAUUUGAAAAGAUGAUAAUGAGAACUUAUAUGCAUAUUAUUUGUAUGAGCUUUUCGAGUAUUGAUACUUAUUUGGUACUGCUAAUUGAUUACUUUCUUAUGACUUAUGGCGCAUCGAUUCAGAACUUUUACUGGGCUGUAAAGCUCAUAACCUC
Molecule: long non-coding RNA, 2411 nt
Filed under: Phoenix dactylifera (date palm)
Lineage: Eukaryota; Viridiplantae; Streptophyta; Magnoliopsida; Arecales; Arecaceae
Description: long non-coding RNA (PDAC_LNC013127)
Source: RNAcentral